GAACGCGAAGAACCUUACCCGGGCUUGAAUUGCAGACGAACGAUUCAGAGAUAAAGAGGCCCUUCGGGGCGUCUGUGAAGGUGCUGCAUGGUUGUCGUCAGCUCGUGCCGUGAGGUGUCGGCUUAAGUGCCAUAACGAGCGCAACCCCUUUUCUUAGUUGCCAUCAGGUAAUGCUGGGCACUCUGGGAAUACUGCCACCGUAAGGUGUGAGGAAGGUGGGGAUGACGUCAAAUCAGCACGGCCCUUACGUCCGGGGCUACACACGUGUUACAAUGGCCGGUACAGAAGGCAGGUUGCAUGUAAGUGCGAUCGAAUCUUAAAAGCCGGUCCCAGUUCGGACUGAGGUCUGCAACCCGACCUCACGAAGCUGGAUUCGCUAGUAAUCGCGCAUCAGCCAUGGCGCGGUGAAUACGUUCCCGGGUCUUGUACACACC
This 434-nucleotide ribosomal RNA is filed under the name uncultured bacterium. RNAcentral's name for it is "bacterial SSU rRNA". It matches the Rfam family "Bacterial small subunit ribosomal RNA", at positions 957 to 1391 of the family's 1533-position model. The record is from RNAcentral.